Non-coding RNA from Microcebus murinus (gray mouse lemur), 1157 nucleotides. NCBI's taxonomy places the organism in Eukaryota, Metazoa, Chordata, Mammalia, Primates, Cheirogaleidae. The record is from RefSeq and is a predicted model, not a curated record.
CUUCUGUCUGCAUGUUCAGGGACCUGUACUACCUGUGCUGAGGGGCGUUCUCCACUUUUUCUCCUGAGAUCUUAAAAAUGGUGCUGUGAAUGCUGCUGGCCUGACCUACCUGGCAGGGUUGUAGAGAGACAUGAAUGUGAUAAGAAGAGUGGAGUAAGAAUGGAGACAGAUUUGAAGACAACUUUUUCAAAACAGAUAAGCAGAUUGAAAAAGCCAAUGCAACGUGGGUAUUUUCAGUUUGAGUUAUGAGCUCUAGUUUUAUAUGGAUUGUCUCCUCCUUUGAAUCAUGUGGAUGGUCAAAGUCAGUCUAGGAAAAGAAAAAGAGAACAUUGUAUAACUUUGGGUUUCAAAAUAGACCUUAAAAAUAUAUUUGACUCAGGAGGGAGAAAAAAUGGUGGAUUAGGGGUGAUCUCCUGGCUCUCUGCUCUCAGAGUGAGAAGUGAAGAAAGUGGAUAACUACAUGUGAGUUAAUUGCACUACUACAGGAUCAGCUUUGUAAAGCUGCAGAGAAGAACACACUGGGGACAACACUGGGGAAAAACUAAGGUGAAUCGGAGAAUCUACAGCAAAGCCCAGAAAGUCUGAAAUAUACAAUAGGGAGGGAGUGUGGGACCGCCCUGCCAAUUGGCUGGCGGGCUGAGGAAGUGCAAGCUGUAGGGGGGGGGGAGUUUCUUCCCCCACCGACCUCCACUUCUACACAGGCAGAGAAGUGCCUGAAGUCGGUGGGAAGUGGUGGCACACAUGGAUAGGCUGUGUGGAGUAGAGACUGGAGUGGGGAACAAUUUGAACUCUCCUGUAUGCUCUGCCAAGGCAGCUUUGGGUGUGGGAGGGUCUGGACCCAGUGGACACUUCCCAGUACCGCAGGAGAGAGCUUGGUGACAGGCAUCUCACUUCAGGAGGCUUCCAGGACCAGGCCGGGGGGUGGGGGUGUAUACCUUAAAGGAGGCUCUGCCUUUGGAAAUUGCUAAGGAGUUGGCUGGCGCAGGGUGAUCAGGGUGCAGAUUUCUGCACCUAAAUGGUUGUGACUCGGCGUGUUGGGGAAGCAAUGGGCUCCCCCUGCAAUGGGCUGCAAUGAGCAAUGGGCUCAGCAGGUGGAUUGGAGACAGACCUCCAAAUUCAGCCCAGCUUUCCACCCUGCAGGUGCCUUCUGCACUGGU